Molecule: non-coding RNA, 870 nt
Organism: Python bivittatus (Burmese python)
Lineage: Eukaryota; Metazoa; Chordata; Lepidosauria; Squamata; Pythonidae
Source: RefSeq, a predicted model, not a curated record
CUGGGUUUGGUUGGCGGUGGCGGCGGCUGCGCCAUUGGCGGGUAGGAAAUGCCGCCAGAUGGCGGUUUAGGAUUGCAGCUCUACUGAGGUGCGGCCCCCAGCACCACCGCCUGUUCGUUCCGGCCCGGCUUGGCCCCGGCCCGCCUGGACCCAUCUCCCGUGGCACCGUAGGAUUCCCGGGGGCGCUGCCUCAGCUGAGGACUCCAAGACUCACUGGGUUGACGGACCGAGCCCAGGCAACUUCGCCCAGCUGGCACCGGACCAUUUGUCUGGAGGGUGCUGCCCGGCCUCUGCCCGCAUCGACAUUGGUAGUAAAGGGAGUUUUGGUUUUGAGCCAAAUGGUUGCCUGAACCUGAGGCAUCAUAGUUGGCACCUCCAACGACUGUGGAGACAGAGUUCCCUGACCCAGACCCUGCCACUAGAGGAAGCCCUGCAUCCCUUUGAACUUGGAGACUGGGUACGGAUCCGCUUCUUCACCAGGAGCUCCCACUACAGCUGAGGUGGAAGGGAUCAUUCUAAGUGCUGCUGACAACUCAGAUGGCAGUGAAAGUGGCAGAGCAAACACCUGGAUUCACUGGUCAUGCAUGAAGCCUGCAGUGGUGGACCACAGUGUUGAGGUUCCUGCGACCCCUAGACUGCCACCAAUCAAGCUCGUGAAAGAUCCAGAGACCAACCAGUGGGGCUUGAAAAGCUUUCUAGGACUCUAAACUAUCUGGGACUUUGAAACUAGCAGAAUGGGCUUUCUGAUUAACUGCUUCAUACUUGUGCUGUUGGCUUCAGGAGUCAGAGGACUAAUCAGGUUGGGACUUCACACAGAAAUGGAAAAUAUCUGGGAAUAAAAUAUUCUGUUCUAUGCAGAAAGGGGGGAUU